This 73-nucleotide small RNA is filed under the name Homo sapiens (human). Its description in RNAcentral is "nc033 non-coding RNA". The record is from RNAcentral. Lineage: Eukaryota; Metazoa; Chordata; Mammalia; Primates; Hominidae.
AAGAAGGAAGUCACUGUUUGAUGUAAACUAAAAAUGAAGUCUAAGCUCCCUACUAGCUGAAAAUGGACCCCCU